UACGUAGGUCCCGAGCGUUGUCCUGAUUUAUUGGGCGUAAAGCGAGCGCAGGUGGUUUAUUAAGUCUGGUGUAAAAGGCAGUGGCUCAACCAUUGUAUGCAUUGGAAACUGGUAGACUUGAGUGCAGGAGAGGAGAGUGGAAUUCCGUGUGUAGCGGUGAAAUGCGUAGAUAUAUGGAGGAACACCGGUGGCGAAAGCGGCUCUCUGGCCUGUAACUGACACUGAGGCUCGAAAGCGUGGGGAGCAAACAGG
This 252-nucleotide ribosomal RNA is filed under the name uncultured bacterium. Its description in RNAcentral is "partial 16S ribosomal RNA". It matches the Rfam family "Bacterial small subunit ribosomal RNA", at positions 524 to 776 of the family's 1533-position model. The record is from RNAcentral.